Molecule: ribosomal RNA, 440 nt
Filed under: uncultured bacterium
Lineage: Bacteria
Description: partial 16S ribosomal RNA
Rfam family: Bacterial small subunit ribosomal RNA
Source: RNAcentral
CCUACGGGUGGCUGCAGUGGGGGAUAUUGCACAAUGGGGGAAACCCUGAUGCAGCGACGCCGCGUGAGUGAAGAAGUAUUUCGGUAUGUAAAGCUCUAUCAGCAGGGAAGAAAAUGACAGUACCUGACCAAGAAGCCCCGGCUAACUACGUGCCAGCAGCCGCGGUAAUACGUAGGGGGCAAGUGUUAUCCGGAUUUACUGGGUGGAAAGGGAGCGUAGACGGUUAUGUAAGUCUGGAGUGAAAGCCCGGGGCCCAACCCCGGGACUGCUUUGGAAACUGUGUAACUGGAGUACAGGAGGGGCAGGCGGAAUUCCAGGUGUAGCGGUGAAAUGCGUAGAUAUCAGGAGGAACACCGGCGGCGAAGGCGACCUGCUAGAACAUAACUGACGCUGAUGCGCGAAAGCGUGGGGAGCAAACAGGAUUAGAUACCCUUGUAGUC